CAAAUUUCUUAUUUAACAAAUUAAAACGUUACAUUUUACAAAUAACCUAAUCCCCGUGUCUAUUAAUAAAUCCAGUGUAACCGUGACGUUAAUUUUUUAUGGAAUUUUCUAUUUUAAAAGCGGGUAAUAGGUAUGACUAGGCAGGCCACUGACGACACACAACGAGGUUACCGUGACUCGUGUAGACGUAACGCAUAUAGGUUCUACUCGUCUAGGAUCGGUACGUAGACGAACCGCGUACCGUGGAUUCCCGGCUUUGCUAACUAUUUUUGAACAGCCGCAAGUUAAAAAAGCUGCACCUACCGAGAUUAGGUGAGUCGGACCGUUCUCAUGGAACUCGUAGAGCGACGAAGUGAUACUAGACUCGCCAAGUCUACCGACAAUACGCACUUUUACACUUUAAACAUAAUUAAAUAGUUUAUUUUACCG
This is a non-coding RNA of Cinara cedri, 429 nucleotides long. NCBI's taxonomy places the organism in Eukaryota, Metazoa, Arthropoda, Insecta, Hemiptera, Aphididae. The record is from the annotation of a GenBank genome assembly.